RNAcentral lists this ribosomal RNA (253 nucleotides) under uncultured bacterium. Its description in RNAcentral is "partial 16S ribosomal RNA". It matches the Rfam family "Bacterial small subunit ribosomal RNA", at positions 524 to 776 of the family's 1533-position model. The record is from RNAcentral.
UACGGAGGAUCCAAGCGUUAUCCGGAUUUAUUGGGUUUAAAGGGUGCGUAGGCGGAUUGAUAAGUUAGAGGUGAAAUGUCCGAGCUCAACUCGGGAACUGCCUCUAAUACUGUUGAUCUAGAGAGUAGAUGCGGUAGGCGGAAUGUAUGGUGUAGCGGUGAAAUGCUUAGAGAUCAUACAGAACACCGAUUGCGAAGGCAGCUUACCAAUUUAUAUCUGACGUUGAGGCACGAAAGCGUGGGGAGCAAACAGG